RNAcentral lists this ribosomal RNA (465 nucleotides) under uncultured bacterium. RNAcentral's name for it is "bacterial SSU rRNA". It matches the Rfam family "Bacterial small subunit ribosomal RNA", at positions 329 to 792 of the family's 1533-position model. The record is from RNAcentral.
UACCAGACUCCUACGGGAGGCAGCAGUGAGGAAUAUUGGUCAAUGGCCGAGAGGCUGAACCAGCCAAGUCGCGUGAGGGAAGAAUGUCCUAAGGAUUGUAAACCUCUUUUGUCGGGGAGCAAAAAGGCUCUGCGGAGUCGUAUUGAGAGUACCCGAAGAAAAAGCAUCGGCUAACUCCGUGCCAGCAGCCGCGGUAAUACGGAGGAUGCGAGCGUUAUCCGGAUUUAUUGGGUUUAAAGGGUGCGCAGGCGGCGUGUCAAGCAAGCGGUAAAAUAGCGGGGCUCAACCCCGUACUGCCGUUGAAACUGCAUCCCUUGAGUGCGCGAGAAGUAUGCGGAAUGCGUGGUGUAGCGGUGAAAUGCAUAGAUAUCACGCAGAACUCCGAUUGCGAAGGCAGCAUACCGGCGCGCAACUGACGCUCAUGCACGAAAGCGUGGGUAUCGAACAGGAUUAGAUACCCGAGUA